This 1346-nucleotide unclassified non-coding RNA is filed under the name Pomacea canaliculata. RNAcentral's name for it is "nucleoporin GLE1-like, transcript variant X1". The record is from RNAcentral. Lineage: Eukaryota; Metazoa; Mollusca; Gastropoda; Architaenioglossa; Ampullariidae.
UGCCUCGCUUCAACAUCGAGUCUCGCUCAAGUCGAGUUUUGCUACACCCUCGCACUGGCGAUACCAGUCCAGGAACUAUAAAAAGUAUAGAAUGGGUUUGCGUUAUCUCCCUUUGCAUCUUCUCGGGAAUGUGUGAAACAUUUAGUCCAUAGUAGCAGAGUCACAGGCACUACAUCUAUUGCAUGAAUAGAAGGUAAUUCAAGAUGGUAAAUGUUGGGGAUCAGCUGAAGAAGACGUCAAAAGGACAGCUGUUGUAUUCCAGAGACCUAGAUGACAAGUCCGUGAAGAUCUUGCUUGAACAAUGCUCAUCUCCCCCAACCAUUUCAUCUUUUCAUAAGGAAGUUACAGAUGUUUCCAUUGGCAGUUCCUUUGGUUUACAGGAAAAAGUUGACGAGAAAGGAAAAUAUGAGGAAAAAGGGCAAAAAGAAGCAUACAAUGAGGAUAUGUGCAAAAAAGUCACAGAUGACAUGCAGGUUAAGCAUGCUGACAUGCAGGUUGAAAGCAAUGCUAGAAAUAGCAAAUUACUGCAGGAAAGAAAGACUGAAACAAUAUGUGAUGAAUCAAAAUCAGAGUUAGAAGAGCAACUGUCACAUUUGUUCAACAUCAGCCUCACAACCAUCAAUGAAUUAGACAGUGAGUGGGACAACAAAGCUCGGGACUACUUGAGGGAGAAAGAAAUUCAGUUUCACAAAAAUGACAUGGAGCUUAAACAACAGUAUGAACAGCAUAUGGAAGAUGCACGCAGACGUGUCAUGCAGAAGCCAGUAAUCAAGCAAAGUCAGUUUGAGCAAGAACUUAAUACAAAUGAAGGAAAGAUUCCACAAACUGUUCAGAAGCUAAGAAAAAGCCACAGUGAUUGUACAUUGAGACAAGAUGCUCGUAUAAAAGAAGUAGAAGAACUAAACCAGACCCUUAGGCAAGAAAUGGUUAAAAGACAAGAGUUAGAAAGGAAGAUUGCAAGCAUUCAAAAACUUGCUCAGGAAAUUCAAGAAGUGACUAGCUUGUUACAGUCUUCUAUUGAUGGCUGCCAAUACAAGAAUCACUUGGGACUUGAUGUUGAGAAAAGCAAGACCUGGGCAACAGUGUUGCUAAAGAAGUUGAGAUUCUUGCAAACAUGGCUGGAAAAAAUGGAGACGAUGAUGAAAUUUUACACAAAUUGAAACAGUUCAAAGAUAGCACCCAGAAUUUUGGUGAUUUAAUAAAAAAGGCCAUAGUGACAGCAGAAGAGAAAGGCAAAGAGGCAGAGGUUUCAAGGCAGUUGAUUCAGUCAGCACCUCAGCUAGCUCAGCCACAAAAAACAGCUGUAGAGGUGCAGCCAACAGCAGCUGAUGCAUCUCAUACUGAAG